AUGCUCGCCUUGGGCAUCAUCCCGAUCUCCACGUCGCCGUUUUCGGCGCCGGUCCUCCUCGUCCGCAAGUCGGACGACACGUGGCGCUUCUGCAUCGACUACCGCGCCCUUAAUGCCCUGACACUCAAGGCCAAGUUUCCUAUCCCGAUGGUCGACAAGCUACAUGGGGCACGCUUCUUCACCAAGCUCGACCUCCAAUCGGGCUACCACCAGGUGCGGAUGCACCCGGAGGAUGUCGCCAAGACAGCAUUUCGGACUCAUCAUGGCCACUUCAAGUUCUUGGUGAUGCCUUUUGGCCUCUCCAACGCCCCAGCGACCUUCCAGGCUUUGAUGAACGACGUCUUUCGCCCCUACUUGCGUCGGUUUGUGCUCGUUUUCUUUGAUGACAUUCUUAUCUACAACGCCUUGUGGGCAGAUCACCUUCAGCACAUCGCCAUCGUCUUCAACGAGCUUCGAGCGCACCAUCUUCAUCUUAAGCGCUCGAAGUGCUCGUUCGGGACGCCUUCAGUCGCCUACCUCGGCCACGUCAUCUCGGCCGAGGGGGUUGCUAUGGACGCCGACAAGGUGGAGGCCGUCGCGGCCUGGCCGACACCGCACUCACCGCGAGCUCUUCGCGGCUUCCUGGGCCUCGCGGGGUACUACCGGAAAUUUAUCCGGGAGUUCGGCCUCAUCGCGUCCCCGCUCACGCGCCUGCUGCGUCGCGACGCCUUUGACUGGGAUGCGGAUGCGACAGCGGCGUUCGAGGCUCUCAAGGGGGCCCUCACGACGGGUCCCGUUCUCCAGAUGCCUGACUUCGACCGCCCGUUCGUCGUGGACUGCGACGUCUCCGGUGUGGGGUUCGGCGCUGUCCUUCAUCAGAGCGAUGGACCGCUCGCGUUCUUCAGCAGGCCCUUCGUCGCGCGCCAUCUUAAGCUCGCGGCCUAUGAGAGGGAGCUCAUUGGCUUGGUGCAGGCCGUGCGCCAUUGGCGGCCCUAUCUUUGGGGCCGGUCGUUCCGGAUUCGCACGGAUCACUACAGUCUCAAGUUCUUAUUGGACCAGAGGCUGUCUACCGUGCCGCAGCACCAGUGGAUCAGCAAGCUCUUUGGCUUCGACUUCACCGUCGAGUAUCGUCCGGGCCGCCUUAACACCGUGGCCGACGCCCUGUCCCGCCGCGACGCCGACCGCGACGCAGCCGUCGGCGACUCAGAGGGGGCGACGCUAUGCAUCCGCUCGGGGCCCUCCUUUGCCCUCUGCCAACAUCCGCAGGGCCACUGCGGACGCGCCGGAGGCCCAGCUCCUUCGACAGCGCCUGGAUGCCGGCGACCUGGAGGAGCCGUGGCGCCUCGCGGAUGGCUUGCUCCUGCAUGGGCGCCGUCUCUUUGUGCCGGACCAAGGCGACCUCCGUCACCAGGUUCUGCUGCUGGCACACUCGGCCGGCCACGAGGGUGUGCAGAAGACCCUCCACCGUCUCCGCGCCAACUUCUACAUCCCCGGUGA
RNAcentral lists this ribosomal RNA (1476 nucleotides) under Triticum aestivum (bread wheat). RNAcentral's name for it is "partial small subunit ribosomal RNA". The record is from RNAcentral. Lineage: Eukaryota; Viridiplantae; Streptophyta; Magnoliopsida; Poales; Poaceae.